UACGUAGGGUGCAAGCGUUAAUCGGAAUUACUGGGCGUAAAGGGUGCGCAGGCGGUUUUGUAAGCCAGAUGUGAAAUCCCCGGGCUCAACCUGGGAAUGGCAUUUGGGACUGCAAGGCUAGAGUGUGGCAGAGGAGACUGGAAUUCCUGGUGUAGCAGUGAAAUGCGUAGAUAUCAGGAGGAAUACCGAUGGCGAAGGCAGGUCUCUGGGUUAACACUGACGCUCAUGCACGAAAGCGUGGGGAGCAAAC
RNAcentral lists this ribosomal RNA (250 nucleotides) under uncultured bacterium. RNAcentral's name for it is "partial 16S ribosomal RNA". It matches the Rfam family "Bacterial small subunit ribosomal RNA", at positions 524 to 773 of the family's 1533-position model. The record is from RNAcentral.